This 76-nucleotide transfer RNA is filed under the name Vibrio parahaemolyticus. Its description in RNAcentral is "tRNA-Arg". It matches the Rfam family "tRNA". From Rfam's summary of the family: Transfer RNA (tRNA) molecules are approximately 80 nucleotides in length. Their secondary structure includes four short double-helical elements and three loops (D, anti-codon, and T loops). Lineage: Bacteria; Pseudomonadati; Pseudomonadota; Gammaproteobacteria; Vibrionales; Vibrionaceae. The record is from RNAcentral.
GCGACACUAGCGCAGUUGGUAGAGCGCAACCUUGCGAAGGUUGAGGUCACGAGUUCGAACCUCGUGUGUCGCUCCA